GCGUCUGCUGCUGUUGCUGCGUGUGUGUGCUGUGUGAUGGUGGUAUUGCGUUUCAGUGUCAUGUCCUUAGUUUCGCGGGAAGAUUUUUGAGUGAACGGCAAAUAUGACGAAUUCGGUGCCGGACAGAUGGUUAGAGUACAAACCUUUUGGUAACGUGAUCAAGGGCACCAAUAUCAUAGCAUUCAAAGUUCCAUUAAAAGACACUAUAGCGAAGAAUCUGCAGCCGCAGCAGCGGUAAGUAUCGGCAUGACUUGUCAUUCGGGCAAA
Molecule: non-coding RNA, 267 nt
Organism: Nylanderia fulva
Lineage: Eukaryota; Metazoa; Arthropoda; Insecta; Hymenoptera; Formicidae
Source: RefSeq, a predicted model, not a curated record